RNAcentral lists this transfer RNA (77 nucleotides) under Bacilli bacterium. Its description in RNAcentral is "tRNA-Met". It matches the Rfam family "tRNA". Rfam says of the family: Transfer RNA (tRNA) molecules are approximately 80 nucleotides in length. Lineage: Bacteria; Bacillati; Bacillota; Bacilli. The record is from RNAcentral. RNAcentral also lists the same sequence under 1 other name.
CGCGGGAUGGAGCAGUUUGGUAGCUCGCUGGGCUCAUAACCCGGAGGCCGUUGGUUCAAAUCCAGCUCCCGCAACCA